AGAUGGGAGCUUGCUCCCUGAUCUUAGCGGCGGACGGGUGAGUAACACGUGGGCAACCUGCCCUGCAGACUGGGAUAACUCCGGGAAACCGGAGCUAAUACCGGGUAAUACAUCGCACCGCAUGGUGCAAUGUUGAAAGUUGGCUUUCGAGCUAACACUGCAGGAUGGGCCCGCGGCGCAUUAGCUAGUUGGUAAGGUAAUGGCUUACCAAGGCGACGAUGCGUAGCCGACCUGAGAGGGUGAUCGGCCACACUGGGACUGAGACACGGCCCAGACUCCUACGGGAGGCAGCAGUAGGGAAUCUUCCGCAAUGGACGAAAGUCUGACGGAGCAACGCCGCGUGAGUGACGAAGGCCUUCGGGUCGUAAAGCUCUGUUGUUAGGGAAGAACAAGUACCGUUCGAAUAGGGCGGUACCUUGACGGUACCUAACCAGAAAGCCACGGCUAACUACGUGCCAGCAGCCGCGGUAAUACGUAGGUGGCAAGCGUUGUCCGGAAUUAUUGGGCGUAAAGCGCGCGCAGGCGGUCUUUUAAGUCUGAUGUGAAAGCCCACGGCUCAACCGUGGAGGGUCAUUGGAAACUGGAGGACUUGAGUGCAGAAGAGGAGAGUGGAAUUCCACGUGUAGCGGUGAAAUGCGUAGAUAUGUGGAGGAACACCAGUGGCGAAGGCGGCUCUCUGGUCUGUAACUGACGCUGAGGCGCGAAAGCGUGGGGAGCAAACAGGAUUAGAUACCCUGGUAGUCCACGCCGUAAACGAUGAGUGCUAGGUGUUGGGGGGUUCCACCCUCAGUGCUGAAGUUAACACAUUAAGCACUCCGCCUGGGGAGUACGACCGCAAGGUUGAAACUCAAAGGAAUUGACGGGGGCCCGCACAAGCAGUGGAGCAUGUGGUUUAAUUCGAAGCAACGCGAAGAACCUUACCAGGUCUUGACAUCCUCUGACAAUCCUGGAGACAGGACGUUCCCCUUCGGGGGACAGAGUGACAGGUGGUGCAUGGUUGUCGUCAGCUCCUGUCGCAGAG
RNAcentral lists this ribosomal RNA (1021 nucleotides) under Alkalihalobacillus sp. RNAcentral describes it as "bacterial SSU rRNA". It matches the Rfam family "Bacterial small subunit ribosomal RNA", at positions 69 to 1071 of the family's 1533-position model. Lineage: Bacteria; Bacillati; Bacillota; Bacilli; Caryophanales; Bacillaceae. The record is from RNAcentral.